GGCCUGUAACAAUACAGGCAACCGGCGAACGGGUGCGUAACACGUGAGCAACCUACCGAACUGUGGGGGAUAGCCGGCCUAACGGCCGAGUAAUACCGCAUACGCUUUCGAUGAGGCAUUUCAUUGAAAGGAAACCUACGGGACAGAUCGAGGGGCUCGCGGCCUAUCAGCUAGUUGGCGAGGUAACGGCUCACCAAGGCGACGACGGGUAGCUGGUCUGAGAGGAUGGCCAGCCACAUUGGGACUGAGAUACGGCCCAGACUCCUACGGGAGGCAGCAGUGGGGAAUCUUGCGCAAUGGCCUAACGGCUGACGCAGCGACGCCGCGUGUGGGAUGAAGCUCCUCGGAGUGUAAACCACUGUUGCCCGGGACGAAUAGCUCGAUUAAUCGAGCCUGACGGUACCGGGUGAGGAAGCACCGGCUAACUCCGUGCCAGCAGCCGCGGUAAUACGGGGGGUGCGAGCGUUGUCCGGAAUCACUGGGCGUAAAGGGCGCGUAGGUGGUUUGAUAGGG
Molecule: ribosomal RNA, 513 nt
Filed under: uncultured earthworm cast bacterium
Lineage: Bacteria
Description: bacterial SSU rRNA
Rfam family: Bacterial small subunit ribosomal RNA
Source: RNAcentral